This 497-nucleotide ribosomal RNA is filed under the name uncultured bacterium. Its description in RNAcentral is "partial 16S ribosomal RNA". It matches the Rfam family "Bacterial small subunit ribosomal RNA", at positions 28 to 507 of the family's 1533-position model. The record is from RNAcentral.
GAUGAACGCUGGCGGCGUGCCUAAUACAUGCAAGUCGAGCGAACGGAGGAGAAUCUUGCUUCUCUUAUGUUAGCGGCGGACGGGUGAGUAACACGUGGAUAACCUACCUAUAAGACUGGGAUAAGUUCGGGAAACCGGAUCUAAUACCGGAUAAUAUUUUGAACCGCAUGGUUCAAAAGUGAAAGACGGUCUUGCUGUCACUUAUAGAUGGAUCCGCGCUGCAUUAGCUAGUUGGUAAGGUAACGGCUUACCAAGGCAACGAUGCAUAGCCGACCUGAGAGGGUGAUCGGCCACACUGGAACUGAGACACGGUCCAGACUCCUACGGGAGGCAGCAGUAGGGAAUCUUCCGCAAUGGGCGAAAGCCUGACGGAGCAACGCCGCGUGAGUGAUGAAGGUCUUCGGAUCGUAAAACUCUGUUAUUAGGGAAGAACAUAUGUGUAAGUAACUGUGCACAUCUUGACGGUACCUAAACAGAAAGCCACGGCUAACUACGUG